This 482-nucleotide ribosomal RNA is filed under the name uncultured bacterium. RNAcentral's name for it is "bacterial SSU rRNA". It matches the Rfam family "Bacterial small subunit ribosomal RNA", at positions 30 to 507 of the family's 1533-position model. The record is from RNAcentral.
AUUGAACGCUGGCGGCAUGCCUUACACAUGCAAGUCGAACGGUAACGCGGGGCAACCUGGCGACGAGUGGCGAACGGGUGAGUAAUGUAUCGGAACGUGCCCAGUUGUGGGGGAUAACUGCUCGAAAGAGCAGCUAAUAUCGCAUACGACCUGAGGGUGAAAGCGGGGGAUCGCAAGACCUCGCGCAAUUGGAGCGGCCGAUAUCAGAUUAGGUAGUUGGUGAGGUAAAGGCUCACCAAGCCAACGAUCUGUAGCUGGUCUGAGAGGACGACCAGCCACACUGGAACUGAGACACGGUCCAGACUCCUACGGGAGGCAGCAGUGGGGAAUUUUGGACAAUGGACGCAAGUCUGAUCCAGCCAUUCCGCGUGCAGGACGAAGGCCUUCGGGUUGUAAACUGCUUUGUACGGAACGAAAAGAACUCUGGUUAAUACCUGGGUCCGAUGACGGUACCGUAAGAAUAAGCACCGGCUAACUACGUG